UAGGUGAUAAAUUAUCAAUUCCCGGAAAAAUUUCGGGUUAUCUCUUAUGAAAACUGCAGGUGAACUGAAAAUUUUUUCAGUCGCGUUUUAACCGUCUGGACCGUUAGACGGAGUUCUCCAAGAAUUGCAGCCUUGCUGGACGUUAUCUGUUCAUCUGGGACAACUACUUGUGCAGUGAAAAGUCUAGUCGAGUUCUUAACAAAAACAUGCCUGUGCUUAGUAAACCUCGAGUGAGACUUUUACAAGACUUCCUAGUACCUCAUCUCGACAACCAAACGUUUCCCGAUAAGCUAUAUUGGAUUAACAGAGGUAAAGGAAUCUUUGGAAUUUUCUGGAGACACCAAAGCAGUUCGAAAUUCAUUGCAGAUGACUCUGCCGUUUUUAAGCAACUUUUCCUGGACUUCAUCAUCAAUCAAUCUUGGUUCUUUUCCUUCCAGCAUCUGGAAGGAA
This is a long non-coding RNA of Stegodyphus dumicola, 450 nucleotides long. The record is from RefSeq and is a predicted model, not a curated record. Lineage: Eukaryota; Metazoa; Arthropoda; Arachnida; Araneae; Eresidae.